Molecule: ribosomal RNA, 600 nt
Filed under: uncultured bacterium
Lineage: Bacteria
Description: bacterial SSU rRNA
Rfam family: Bacterial small subunit ribosomal RNA
Source: RNAcentral
ACUGACGCUAAAGCUCGAAGGUGCGGGUAUCGAACAGGAUUAGAUACCCUGGUAGUCCGCACGGUAAACGAUGGAUGCCCGCUGUUUGCGAUAUAGUGUGAGCGGCCAAGCGAAAGCGUUAAGCAUCCCACCUGGGGAGUACGCCGGCAACGGUGAAACUCAAAGGAAUUGACGGGGGCCCGCACAAGCGGAGGAACAUGUGGUUUAAUUCGAUGAUACGCGAGGAACCUUACCCGGGCUUGAACUGCAGCAGAACGAUUGAGAGAUCAUGAGGUCCUUCGGGACUGCUGUGGAGGUGCUGCAUGGUUGUCGUCAGCUCGUGCCGUGAGGUGUCGGCUUAAGUGCCAUAACGAGCGCAACCCCUCUCUUCAGUUGCCAUCACUUCGGGUGGGCACUCUGGAGACACUGCCACCGUAAGGUGUGAGGAAGGUGGGGAUGACGUCAAAUCAGCACGGCCCUUACGUCCGGGGCUACACACGUGUUACAAUGGGUGGUACAGAGCGUCGGCCGCCGGCAACGUCGGUCCAAUCGUGAAAUCCAUCCUCAGUUUGGACUGGGGUCUGCAACCCGACCCCACGAAGCUGGAUCGCUAGUAAUCGC